RNAcentral lists this ribosomal RNA (253 nucleotides) under uncultured bacterium. Its description in RNAcentral is "partial 16S ribosomal RNA". It matches the Rfam family "Archaeal small subunit ribosomal RNA", at positions 474 to 727 of the family's 1478-position model. The record is from RNAcentral.
UACCCGCAGCACAAGUGGUGGUCAUUAUUAUUGGGCCUAAAGCGUCCGUAGCUGACCUGUUAGAUGCCUGGGUAAAUCGAAGCGCUCAACGUUUCGAAUUCCGGGUAGACCGGCAGGCUCGAGACCGGGAGAGGUGUGGGGUACUCGGGGGGUAGGGGUAAAAUCCUGUAAUCCUUCGGGGAGGACCAGUGGCGAAGGCGCUACACUAGAACGGCUCUGACAGUGAGGGACGAAGCCCUGGGGCGCAAACCGG